CGGAGGUCUGAGAAGGUUGAGCAGCCUGUGCGGUGCUGUUCUUAACUGGUUACUACCUCCUACACGAACAAUCAAAACACUCCAUGAUGGGCUCUGCUGUGACGUGCUGAGCCUAAUUUGUGUUUGAUGACAAUUU
Molecule: non-coding RNA, 136 nt
Organism: Nerophis lumbriciformis (worm pipefish)
Lineage: Eukaryota; Metazoa; Chordata; Actinopteri; Syngnathiformes; Syngnathidae
Source: RefSeq, a predicted model, not a curated record